RNAcentral lists this ribosomal RNA (253 nucleotides) under uncultured bacterium. RNAcentral describes it as "partial 16S ribosomal RNA". It matches the Rfam family "Bacterial small subunit ribosomal RNA", at positions 524 to 776 of the family's 1533-position model. The record is from RNAcentral.
UACGUAGGGUGCGAGCGUUAAUCGGAAUUACUGGGCGUAAAGAGUGCGUAGGCGGAAAUGUAAGUUAGAUGUGAAAUCCCCGAGCUUAACUUGGGCAUUGCAUUUAAGACUGCAUAUCUAGAGUUUGUCAGAGGGGGGUAGAAUUCCAAGUGUAGCAGUGAAAUGCGUAGAGAUUUGGAGGAAUACCGAUGGCGAAGGCAGCCCCCUGGGAUAGAACUGACGCUGAGGCACGAAAGCGUGGGUAGCAAACAGG